GGUUAGGUAUAGCUCAGUGGUAAAGCACUUGCCUAGCAUGCACGAGGUCCUGAGUUCAAUCCUCAGUAUCACCA
Molecule: transfer RNA, 74 nt
Filed under: Cavia porcellus (domestic guinea pig)
Lineage: Eukaryota; Metazoa; Chordata; Mammalia; Rodentia; Caviidae
Description: tRNA-Ala (AGC) (tRNA-Ala-AGC-13-1)
Rfam family: tRNA
About the family: Transfer RNA (tRNA) molecules are approximately 80 nucleotides in length. Their secondary structure includes four short double-helical elements and three loops (D, anti-codon, and T loops).
Source: RNAcentral